GAUGAACGCUGGCGGCGUGCUUAACACAUGCAAGUCGAACGAUGAGGCCCAGCUUUCUGGGUGGAUUAGUGGCGAACGGGUGAGUAACACGCGAGUAACCUGCCCUUAACUCUGGGAUAAGCCUGGGAAACUGGGUGUAAUACCGGAUAGGAGCGCCUACCGCAUGGUGGGUGUUGGAAAGAUUUAUCGGUUUUGGAUGGACUCGCGGCCUAUCAGCUUGUUGGUGAGGUAAUGGCUCACCAAGGCGACGACGGGUAGCCGGCCUGAGAGGGUGACCGGCCACACUGGGACUGAGACACGGCCCAGACUCCUACGGGAGGCAGCAGUGGGGAAUAUUGCACAAUGGGCGAAAGCCUGAUGCAGCGACGCCGCGUGAGGGAUGACGGCCUUCGGGUUGUAAACCUCUUUCAGUAGGGAAGAAGCGGAAGUGACGGUACCUGCAGAAGAAGCACCGGCUAACUACGUG
Molecule: ribosomal RNA, 466 nt
Filed under: uncultured bacterium
Lineage: Bacteria
Description: partial 16S ribosomal RNA
Rfam family: Bacterial small subunit ribosomal RNA
Source: RNAcentral